RNAcentral lists this long non-coding RNA (1317 nucleotides) under Rhinolophus ferrumequinum (greater horseshoe bat). Its description in RNAcentral is "lncRNA (ENSRFEG00010016942.1)". Lineage: Eukaryota; Metazoa; Chordata; Mammalia; Chiroptera; Rhinolophidae. The record is from RNAcentral.
UGCCCUUGGUCCAAUCUACCGAGCUCCUUCGUGGUAUGCGAGAAUUGGGCGCCACCUCAAGGCUGUGGAGACAGCCCCUGCCCUUGGGGUAUUACCCACACCCUGGCAAGAGAAGAUGUAUGCCAGUUGCCCACAAGACCAGUUGUGUGGAACAAGCAUACGUGAGAGGAGGCACUAAGUGUUGAAAGUGACGAAAUCUGCAAACACUUGACUUAAUUUGAGUGACCGUGUUUUUGUAGCCAAUACCAAGAACCCUCUUCUACUCAACUUUUGUCUCAAAAGAAAGGAAUUCAGCCAAAUCACAUGGAUCUGAUCAUAACACCCAUUACUGAAACAAAACUGGAAUGAUCUUAACUUUGAAAAUAGCCAUCUGAAUUUGACAAAAGAUGACUCAACACCCUAAUUUUUAAAACCUGGAGUCCCCGCUCUGUCCCGCCCCAGAAGGGUGGUGGCAGCACGGCCUGGACUUCUCUGAACUGCAGGCAGGCCGGGGGCUGGACUGCAGGGAAUCAAGAAAAUGGACUCCCUUCUCCUGGGGACAUGAAUGCCAGCCACCAGCCAAGGUUCUCCAAGCUCUUCCAUUUGCCCCUCCAGAUCUGCUGCCAACCCUCUCCACCUGCUCUAUUCCCUGGGAGGCUGACCUGUAUGCUCUGCAUCAGCCCCUGCCUUGCCUCUGGCUUCUGACAUGUUUGGCCGAUGGCAAGUACUGGAAGGAGAUCAGCAGACACAGGAUUUUUUUUUUUCUUUUCAGGUAAUCAAUUUUUUUUUAAAUUAAAGUUUAUUGGGGUGAGAAUUGUUAAUACAAUUCUAUAAUAAAUCAUCCAUAUCUCACAUUGUGUGUUCACCACCCAGAGUCAGUUCUCUUUCCAUCACCAUAUAUUAGACUCCAUUUACCCUCUUCUAGAGCCCCGUUCCCCCCUUACCCUCUGGUAACCCCUAAACUAUUGUCUAUGUUUAUGAGUUUUUGUUUCUUCAUUUGUUUGUCUUGUUCAUUUGUUGUUUUCAGUUUUAUGUACCACAUAUCAGUGAAAUCAUAUGGUUCUCUGCUUUUUCUGUCUGACUUAUUUCGCUUAGCAUUAUAAUCUCAAGAUCCAUCCAUGUUGUCACAAAUGGUACUAUUUCAUCUUUUCUUACCGCCGAAUAGUAUUCCAUUGUGUAUAUAUACCACAACUUCUUUAUCCAUUCAUCUGUCGAAGGACAUUUUGGUUGUUUCCAUGUCUUGGCCACCGUAAAUAGAGCUGCAGUGAACAUUGGAGCACACGUGUCUUUAUGGAUAAAUAUUUUCAGAUUUUUGGGGUAGAUACCCAGGAGAGGGAU